Molecule: ribosomal RNA, 435 nt
Filed under: uncultured bacterium
Lineage: Bacteria
Description: partial 16S ribosomal RNA
Rfam family: Bacterial small subunit ribosomal RNA
Source: RNAcentral
AGCGAACGCUGGCGGCAGGCUUAACACAUGCAAGUCGAGCGGGCACUUUCGGGUGUCAGCGGCGGACGGGUGAGUAACGCGUGGGAACGUGCCCUCUGGUUCGGAAUAACUCAGGGAAACUUGAGCUAAUACCGGAUACGCCCUUUUGGGGAAAGGCUUGCUGGCGGAGGAUCGGUCCGCGUCUGAUUGGCUGGUUGGUGAGGUAACGGCUCGCCCAGGCGACGAGCAGUAGCUGGGCUGAGAGGAGGAUCAGCCACACUGGGACUGAGACACGGCCCAGUCUCCUACGGGAGGCAGGAGUGGGGAAUAUUGGACAAGGGGCGCAAGCCUGAUCCAGCCAUGCCGCGUGAGUGAUGAAGGCCUUAGGGUUGUAAAGCUCUUUUAUCCGGGACGAUAAUGACGGUACCGGAGGAAUAAGCCCCGGCUAACUUCGUG